Molecule: ribosomal RNA, 369 nt
Filed under: Xenosiphon sp. USNM IZ 1448000
Lineage: Eukaryota; Metazoa; Annelida; Sipuncula; Golfingiida; Sipunculidae
Also listed under: 2 other names
Description: SSU rRNA
Rfam family: Eukaryotic small subunit ribosomal RNA
Source: RNAcentral
AUGCAUGUCUAAGUACAGGCUUUCACAAAGCGAAACCGCGAAUGGCUCAUUAGGUCGGACAUGGUUCCUUAGAUCGUACACUCCUACUUGGAUAACUGUGGUAAUUCUAGAGCUAAUACAUGCGAGCAAGCUCCGACCUCACGGGAAGAGCGCUUUUAUUAGAUCAAAACCAAUCGGGCCGCAAGGUCCGUGCAUUUGGUGACUCUGGAUAACUUUGUGCUGAUCGCACGGCCUCGAGCCGGCGACGUAUCUUUCAAGUGUCCGCCCUAUCAACUUUCGACGGUACGUGAUAUGCCUACCGUGGUUGUAACGGGUAACGGGGAAUCAGGGUUCGGUUCCGGAGAGGGAGCAUGAGAAACGGCUACCACA